UCACCAGACUAGGUAAAAAUUGGAAUUGCUUUUGUCUGUUCUGACACGGACUGAAACCAUAAUGUAGGUACAGGCAAAGUCACUGGAGAGCAGAGCUGUGCUGUUCUCGCCAAAUGGACAUUCAACAGCUCCUCUCUGCACUGAAGAAUCCAGUCACAUAACCAACAGACUGAGUUCCCUGAAAACUCUUCUUAGACACGGUUCAGACAAAUACAGCUGACAAACUCACCCAACAACGCUGCCUAACCUCGUACAUACGAAGACUGCAAGACUUGGCUGAGUGAACAUAAAGUGCACAUAGAUAAAUCUGUGAUUGUCUUACCAACUGAAGACAACAAGAAGCAUAUGAGUAAUCCUAGUUCUUAAAUAAUCUGCCUGAGCAAAGAGAAAUCAGUGAUAUAAACCCUGUUAAGUAGAAAAUGUCACUGGGAUCAAUAGACGUAAACUAUAAGCUCAUGAUUUUAUCUCCUCAGGAAAGUUUGCACACGUAAUGAAAUGGCUGAGAACUGUGUGGUGACCAUGCAAGACACUGCAGUGAACUGGAAGCGGAGGAAAGAGAUUUGGUUUGGCAACUGGAUUGUUGUUUUGCUUCCCAGAAUCACCAGCAUCCCUACUGAAACUGAGAUACCCCUCGCAGAACAUAACAGGCUCAAACUCACGUAUGUAUUUUCUGCAUAGAAGAAAGUUUCUUGUCAUAAGCUGUGCUCAGAAUGAUGGCCUGGCGACACACCCAGACCUGGGAAGUGCCCCCAGGCCCAGCAGUGCAGAGAAAUCCCGAGAACCUGAGCACAACUGUCAGACGGACAGACAUCCAGCAGAGCCAGCUUCACCACAGCUCCUUCCCUUAAACUCCUAGAGAUCUUGGCAGUAGAAAGUGGGAUGAGAGAAGAGUUCCAGCAGCAGCUCUGCCCACGGAGGAGGUGGUGAUACAACACUUUGUUCCUCUGCAUUGAUCAGUCUCCUUUUCAGCCCAUUAUGAUAUUUCCCUGUAUUUCAUGCACCAAAUGAUAAAAGAUUUAUAAUUCAGUAUUGCAUCAAGUGCUUUUCUGCAAUCAAUAAGUAUUACUUCUACCAGAAUGCCUCUGUAUAACAAACAUGCAAUUACAGUGAUUUUAAGUAUCAGGUUUGUCUGACCUAAUAUGUUUUAUUAACCUGUGGUUUUUAGUGUUCAUCAGGCUUUUUCACUCUAUAUAUUUACUCAUGAUUUUUAUUUUAUUUUUUAUCUUAACAUAAGCUCAUGGAAAAUUUAAACUAGUGAUUGGAGUUUCUUCAGUUUCUCUGUGAAAAACACUCUUCUGCUUUUAUUCAACCAAUAAAUUUUUAUUGUUCCUGUUUUCAUAUAUUUAUUCUGUUUAUUUAUUACAGUGCAAGUGCACAGUAAAGAAACUGAGCUGGCUUACGUAAAAGAAGUUAAACAUUGUCUUUGGCCUUUUUGUGACAUCCUGAACUUCAAAUAUACUUUUGCACC
Oxyura jamaicensis (ruddy duck) is the source of this 1468-nucleotide long non-coding RNA. RefSeq lists it as uncharacterized. NCBI's taxonomy places the organism in Eukaryota, Metazoa, Chordata, Aves, Anseriformes, Anatidae. The transcript is spliced from 3 exons. The record is from RefSeq and is a predicted model, not a curated record.